AGAACGAACGCUGGCGGCAGGCCUCAAACAUGCAAGUCUAGGGGGCGUAGCAAUACGUCACCGGCGGACGGGUGCGUAACACGUGGGAAUGUACUUAUUGGUUCGGAACAACUCAGGGAAACUUGAGCUAAUACCGAAUGUGCCCGAAAGGGGAAAGAUUUAUCGCCAAUAAAUCAGCCCGCGUCCGAUUAGCUAGUUGGUGGGGUAAAGGCCCACCAAGGCGACGAUCGGUAGCUGUUCUGAGAGGAAGAUCAGCCACACUGGGACUGAGACACGGCCCAGACUCCUACGGGAGGCAGCAGUUGGGAAUCUUGGACAAUGGGGGAAACCCUGAUCCAGCCAUGCCGCGUGAGUGAUGAAGGCCUUCGGGUUGUAAAACUCUUUCGACGGGGACGAUAAUGACGGUACCCGUAGAAGAAGCUCCGGCUAACUUCGUGCCAGCAGCCGC
Molecule: ribosomal RNA, 448 nt
Filed under: uncultured bacterium
Lineage: Bacteria
Description: SSU rRNA
Rfam family: Bacterial small subunit ribosomal RNA
Source: RNAcentral